CAAAACACAAAUUAUACUAGUGUUCAGUAAAACCAGAACCAAUGUGUGAAGAGCAAAGUGAAGUUAAUAAUGCCGAACUCAAAAUCAAACCAUGAGCAUACACUGUAUAGCAUUCGCUUACAACCGGAAGCAACAAAAAAAUUAAGAGAAGAAAUAAACGGAACAAGUUCAACAAUCAUACCAACAAAAGGAAAAAGAACUUACUCUCGCGACUAAUUUGUUUGAGGUUUUUGUAUUCGCCGCCAUAAGAGGAAGAAUCGGAAUCUGACAUGGUGAAAUCUAUACCCUAAACCUAAACCACAGUCGUCGAUCGAUCACGAAACGAGAAGCAGAACCAAAUCGGGGACGAUUGGAAACCUAAUUCAAGCUUUGAACAGAAAAGAAAGAAAUGAAAUAGAAUCAGUUUAUUCGAAUUGAAUGAGUUAAAAA
Molecule: long non-coding RNA, 429 nt
Filed under: Lathyrus oleraceus (garden pea)
Lineage: Eukaryota; Viridiplantae; Streptophyta; Magnoliopsida; Fabales; Fabaceae
Description: Pisum sativum (pea) long non-coding RNA (PSAT_LNC009424)
Source: RNAcentral